Molecule: long non-coding RNA, 810 nt
Filed under: Gossypium raimondii (Peruvian cotton)
Lineage: Eukaryota; Viridiplantae; Streptophyta; Magnoliopsida; Malvales; Malvaceae
Description: long non-coding RNA (GRAI_LNC004530)
Source: RNAcentral
CCGUUUACAGAAACUUGGCCCAGUUACAUUGAAGCCCAAAACAAAAAAACACAAGCAGAAACCCUAGGGCAUCUGCAAACUCCAGCCGCCGCACGUGGAAACCAGUUUCGUCUGCGUGCGUGUUCUAGUAGUCACUGUCCCUCCGCACGCACCAGGCGCGUCCUUCCUCCAGGCUGGCUGAGCACUAUACACCUACGACACAAACGAAAAACCAAACGCAACGCACACAGCAACAGACAACAAAAAGCAGAAAUCGAGAGAAAAAUAAAAAAGAAAAAAAUAGAAAAGAGCAAAAAGAAAAAUGAUGUACUUUUCAAUUCGGCUAUAAAGCCAAUUUUUUCUUUAGAAUCAGAGGACGGAGGCAUAUUGUAUGAGAAAAAAAUGAAAUCAAUUCAACAAAGGUUUUCUUUUUUUCUCUCUUUUUUCUUCAAUCGUUCUUCUUUGUUUCGUUCUUUGUUCUUGUUAUUAAUACAUAUAAGCACUUAUAAAAUAAAAAGAAAUAGGGGAAGAGAACUUACCUUCCGGUUUGAGGCCGCCGAACCUUGCUCACUUCGUUGAAAUCGAAGUUUGAUAGAGGGCAAAUCGGUGUUGCGGCGGAGGGAAGGGCCUAGGGUUCCUUUGUUUUUUUUUUUUUUGUUUUUAAGGCUGCUGAGAAUGUUUAGCAGGCUACCGAUUUAAGGUAUUUUGUUAAGCCUUCAUAACGCAAAAACGGCAUCGUUUAAAGUCUUCUACCAUGGCAUUAAAACGGCACCGUGUAGGCCUGCAACCCGCGUGUGUGACCCGACCCGGGGAGGAUCCGCGCGUCCAGCC